This 310-nucleotide ribosomal RNA is filed under the name uncultured archaeon. Its description in RNAcentral is "bacterial SSU rRNA". It matches the Rfam family "Archaeal small subunit ribosomal RNA", at positions 6 to 319 of the family's 1478-position model. The record is from RNAcentral.
GGUUGAUCCCGCCGGAGGUCACUGCUAUUGGGAUUCGACUAAGCCAUGCGAGUCGCGAGGGUUCGGCCCUCGGCUGACGGCUCAGUAACACGCGGAUAAUCUGCCCUUAGGUGGAGGAUAAUCUCGGGAAACUGAGAAUAAUAUUCCAUAGAUUUAGGAUGCUGGAAUGCACUUAAAUUAAAAGCUUCGGCGCCUAAGGAUGAGUGUGUUUACUAUCAGGUCGUAGUCAGGCUACCGACCUGACUAGCCUACGANGGAUAGGGGUUGUGAGAGGAGGAAGGGGGACAUGAUAUCUGGGAUAUGAUAUCAG